This 497-nucleotide ribosomal RNA is filed under the name uncultured bacterium. Its description in RNAcentral is "partial 16S ribosomal RNA". It matches the Rfam family "Bacterial small subunit ribosomal RNA", at positions 28 to 507 of the family's 1533-position model. The record is from RNAcentral.
GAUGAACGCUGGCGGCGUGCCUAAUACAUGCAAGUCGAGCGAACAGACGAGGAGCUUGCUCCUCUGACGUUAGCGGCGGACGGGUGAGUAACACGUGGAUAACCUACCUAUAAGACUGGGAUAACUUUGGGAAACCGGAGCUAAUACCGGAUAAUAUAUUGAACCGCAUGGUUCAAUAGUGAAAGACGGUUUUGCUGUCACUUAUAGAUGGGUCCGCGCCGCAUUAGCUAGUUGGUAAGGUAACGGCUUACCAAGGCGACGAUGCGUAGCCGACCUGAGAGGGUGAUCGGCCACACUGGAACUGAGACACGGUCCAGACUCCUACGGGAGGCAGCAGUAGGGAAUCUUCCGCAAUGGGCGAAAGCCUGACGGAGCAACGCCGCGUGAGUGAUGAAGGUCUUCGGAUCGUAAAACUCUGUUAUUAGGGAAGAACAAAUGUGUAAGUAACUAUGCACGUCUUGACGGUACCUAAUCAGAAAGCCACGGCUAACUACGUG